RNAcentral lists this ribosomal RNA (495 nucleotides) under uncultured bacterium. RNAcentral describes it as "partial 16S ribosomal RNA". It matches the Rfam family "Bacterial small subunit ribosomal RNA", at positions 28 to 507 of the family's 1533-position model. The record is from RNAcentral.
GACGAACGCUGGCGGCGUGCCUAAUACAUGCAAGUAGAACGCUGAAGGAGGAGCUUGCUUCUCUGGAUGAGUUGCGAACGGGUGAGUAACGCGUAGGUAACCUGCCUGGUAGUGGGGGAUAACUAUUGGAAACGAUAGCUAAUACCGCAUAAUAGCAGUUGUUGCAUGAUAACUGUUUGAAAGGUGCAAUUGCACCGCUACCAGAUGGACCUGCGUUGUAUUAGCUAGUUGGUGGGGUAACGGCUCACCAAGGCGACGAUACAUAGCCGACCGGAGAGGGGGAUCGGCCACCCUGGGACUGAGACACGGCCCAGACGCCUACGGGAGGCAGCAGUAGGGAAUCUUCGGCAAUGGACGGAAGUCUGACCGAGCAACGCCGCGUGAGUGAAGAAGGGUUUCGGAUCGUAAAGCUCUGUUGUAAGAGAAGAACGAGUGUGAGAGUGGAAAGUUCACACUGUGACGGUAACUUACCAGAAAGGGACGGCUAACUACGUG